CGGCCGCGGAGAGUUCUGGCUGCGGGCGGUUGAGUCCGCAUCAUUUAUUCAUCUUGGGUGUCAGGUUCCCGGGACGCCACCUGCGCCAUCACUACUGGGGUGAGGGAAUGCUUCUCCAACUAAAGCAACAGCAGCAGCAGCAGCAGCAGCAGAAGCAGCAGGUCUCUGCCUCCUACUUCCUCAAACUCCAGCCACAGGGACACAGUCACUGGACUGCUGCUCACAGGACUUCCCUUGCUGCUCA
RNAcentral lists this long non-coding RNA (244 nucleotides) under Rattus norvegicus (Norway rat). RNAcentral's name for it is "long non-coding RNA NONRATT028094". Lineage: Eukaryota; Metazoa; Chordata; Mammalia; Rodentia; Muridae. The record is from RNAcentral.